UAGGGAAUCUUCGGCAAUGGACGAAAGUCUGACCGAGCAACGCCGCGUGAGUGAAGAAGGUUUUCGGAUCGUAAAACUCUGUUGUUAGAGAAGAACAAGGACGUUAGUAACUGAACGUCCCCUGACGGUAUCUAACCAGAAAGCCACGGCUAACUACGUGCCAGCAGCCGCGGUAAUACGUAGGUGGCAAGCGUUGUCCGGAUUUAUUGGGCGUAAAGCGAGCGCAGGCGGUUUCUUAAGUCUGAUGUGAAAGCCCCCGGCUCAACCGGGGAGGGUCAUUGGAAACUGGGAGACUUGAGUGCAGAAGAGGAGAGUGGAAUUCCAUGUGUAGCGGUGAAAUGCGUAGAUAUAUGGAGGAACACCAGUGGCGAAGGCGGCUCUCUGGGCUGUAACUGACGCGGAGGCUCGAAAGCGUGGGGAGCAAACAGG
RNAcentral lists this ribosomal RNA (429 nucleotides) under Gemmatimonadota bacterium. Its description in RNAcentral is "Gemmatimonadetes bacterium partial 16S ribosomal RNA". It matches the Rfam family "Bacterial small subunit ribosomal RNA", at positions 355 to 776 of the family's 1533-position model. The record is from RNAcentral. Lineage: Bacteria; Pseudomonadati; Gemmatimonadota.